This 253-nucleotide ribosomal RNA is filed under the name uncultured bacterium. RNAcentral describes it as "partial 16S ribosomal RNA". It matches the Rfam family "Bacterial small subunit ribosomal RNA", at positions 524 to 776 of the family's 1533-position model. The record is from RNAcentral.
UACGUAGGGUGCGAGCGUUGUCUGGAAUUAUUGGGCGUAAAGAGCUUGUAGGCGGUUUGUCGCGUCUGCUGUGAAAAUCCGGGGCUCAACCCCGGACUUGCAGUGGGUACGGGCAGACUAGAGUGUGGUAGGGGAGACUGGAAUUCCUGGUGUAGCGGUGAAAUGCGCAGAUAUCAGGAGGAACACCGAUGGCGAAGGCAGGUCUCUGGGCCACUACUGACGCUGAGAGGCGAAAGCAUGGGGAGCGAACAGG